Nylanderia fulva is the source of this 592-nucleotide long non-coding RNA. RefSeq lists it as uncharacterized. The record is from RefSeq and is a predicted model, not a curated record. NCBI's taxonomy places the organism in Eukaryota, Metazoa, Arthropoda, Insecta, Hymenoptera, Formicidae.
CUUCCGUUGUCGGCAAAUUGCGAAUUCGAUCUUCGGCUUCACCUUGCACUCUUGUUUUCAGGUAGUGCAAUUUCUCCACAUCUGCCAGCGAAGGAUGGCGAUCCAGCAUCGACAGGAACAGGUCCCUGAACGCUGGCCAAUCCUCAAUGCGACCGGAGAAAUGUGGAAGCUCGAUGUUGGGCAGCUUCCGCUGCGACGCGGGCUCCGAAGCUGCUAUCAUCUUUCGCUCCGCUCCGCUCUCCGGCUUGGAGCGAAGGGAAUGCAGCAAAUCCAGCAGAGUUGAGCGCUGGUCCAUCACCCUGUCUUCGACCGUGACAAUCCAGCUCGACUUGAAGUAGUCGUGGUUUUCUUCGGCGCGGGCUAUGCGACCGUACAGCUCGGACUGAGCGUCAAGGACACUUUCGGCGUCGAGGCUCAUUGCGCGAGUUAAGUCAACGUCACGCCCUUCGCACCAGGAUUACCGUCACCGCGACACUCGUGUUCACUCACCACUCGCUCGGAUGUGCACUAUCCGGCUCGAAGGACCAAAAUGUUUAGAGUGAGGUGGAACGAACACCAGAAUAUUAUAAAGAAUAAAGAAAUGUUCAAAAUA